RNAcentral lists this long non-coding RNA (5301 nucleotides) under Elaeis guineensis (African oil palm). RNAcentral describes it as "long non-coding RNA (EGUI_LNC000758)". Lineage: Eukaryota; Viridiplantae; Streptophyta; Magnoliopsida; Arecales; Arecaceae. The record is from RNAcentral.
UUAUAAACUGGAUUAUGUACAAAUAUAUUUAAUGUCGAAAGUCUUGUUAGCUGUUUAUGUUUUCUUGUGCUUCCUUUUGGGUUAAUGAAUUCAUGCUUUAAAUGGUAACAUCUGGUAGUCAAAAAAGAGAAAUAAAAAGGUGAUAGACAAUUCAGUGGAUUUACUAUGUAAGUUUCUUUAGAGCAUUAACAAAGUCAUUUUGCCAUUUAUGAAAAUAAGGCAGCCUUCAUACUUGUUUUUCCAACAAAAAAUCCCCCUUUUUUCGGUCAUGUUUUGCAUAACCAGUUGUUGGCUGCAUUAAUCCUGUAUAAUUGUAGAUCAUUGACAGAUUCAUUAUCUUGGCCUUCUGUCUUCUUUCCUAUUUGCAACUAACUCUAGAUGAUAGUCCCAACCAACAAAGCCUUUUGAUAGAUGACCCAAGUUGAUGCAUGAUCCAAUCAGUGAACUCGUAAUAGUGGAUCUUUGGUCAGGACCAUGCUUUCCCUUUUCAUUAUUACCAAUCCUGUGUAAUUUGUGUUUUGUUUCUUUUGAUGCAUUCUUGAGUUAGCAUCAUUUGUAUCUGUUUAAAACUCAAAAGUUGCAGAGUAAUAAAACCCCUCCAUCAGUUUGUCGCAUGUUUUAAUCUUGUUCAAAUAUGAUUCAAAUACAAAUAUGCAAGGCAAGCUUCUCAAGGCCUACAUGUUCUGACCCUUUUGAGUUGUUGGUAAACUUAAGCUAGGUUACAUCAAAUAGGAUCCCGGUGUUUUAAAUAAGUAGGGAAGCUAAAAGACCCAGGAUGCAUGCAGAGAAAGCAAUAGAAGACACUAUAACAAAACUGACAAAGUUCUACUUCAUAAUGUCUUUGUUUUUUUUUUAAAAUAAUAAGUGCAUUUGGCAGUUAUGUUGUAAAAAAGCUGUCAAACAUCAACUUAACAGAAUGAUGCAAUAAUAAAUAAGGUUUGCCAGAAUAAUAUGCGGAAACAGUGAAAAUGCUUUUAUAGGUCAAGAGAGAGAUUAUUUAAUGGCCUUCUAUUGCGAGCCUGUAUGCGAGAACGCAUGCGCAUGCGAGAGAGAGGGAGAGAGAGUUUCCUUAGUGGCUGCAGCAUCUAUGAGUAGAAUAUUAACAGCUAAGGAUUUGAUUCACACAAACUUGUGGAGCUCACUCCCGUGCCUCCAUUUUCUCAGUCAAAUUGAUUAUUUCUUCCCCCAAAUUGCCUUUAUCAAUGGUUAUGUCUAAUUUUGUCAUUUGGUCUAGUUGUACAAGGCUGCCUUACCAAUUUUACUUAUUAACAUGAUUUGUUUUUGCAUGUCAGAGGGGAAAAAGUUUUCCUAUAUUGUUUUAUAGGCUUCUUAACCACUAGAUCAGCACAUAUUAUGAUAGAUUAAGGCAUUAAUUUGUAAUUGUGGUUGGUUGGACCAGUUCAACCAACUUGAUAAACCAUUUUCUUGUUCCUGUUGCCAAGUGUUUUCUGAAUUCUUGAGAUGCUAAUCUUUUCUCAAUUUGGUACCAGUUUGUUUGAUGCUGUGGCUCUGUAUUUUUUCUUUCCACUGGUGUCUAUUACCAAUCUUCUAGUAUUAUUUCACCAAAAUUUUGAACACUUAAUUGUGGGAGUUUAGAAAUGGUAGAGUUCCUCUUCUGUUGCUACACUUGGUUGGUAGAUGUACCUAUCUAGUUCCAAGAGAUAGGCUCAGCCUGCAGAAUACAUGUUUGUUAUGGUGAAACGUGAUGAAUAUAUUCCGUGGGGACUUCUCUUCAUGCAUCAACAUUAACAUCCUGGGUUCUUUUGGAUGUGCUUUUGAAUUAUAUGCUUUCUGAGAGAUCGACAUUUAUAUAUUUGAUGUGGUGAUCACAAGGCAGUUUAUACACUUUGUAAUGGCAAAUUGAUCUUCCCAUGAUUCCUUUUAUGUUAACAAAAGUUCUGUUGUUUGAUGCUGCAUGUAUGGCUAACUGACGAGGAAGCUAAAAACGGUUAGAGCUGAAAAAAAGACACUAGAGCCUUAAACUAGGAGUGAGAUGCUGUGCAUCACGUGUUUCGAGUACUUGAGUUUCAGAUUGCAAUCUGAUUUCUCAGCCGUAAUAUAAGAAUUUUAUUAGGUAAGUUCAGUUAUUGUAGAAUUAUACCUCUGGUAAUAGUUAAUCGACUAUUAAUUUGUAUGUCUUGGGUCAGUUUGGCAAGAUAAUCUUUUUUAAGUGUUAAAAUAACCAGAGAGCUUUUUUUAUUGGACUUGUUUAUACUGGAAUUGAGAAGCCCAAUCUAAUUUGCUAUGAUUUAAGAGCUUUGAAAACUACCAUCUUAAGAAUCAUGUAGGCUACACACUUGAACAUUCAAUAUCAAGUGGUAAGUUUGUUUUUAUCUGUUGCUUCUGGUUCUGCAAUGAUGCAAGUUUUGAUUCCACUGAAGAUGAUGAUUAGGUUAUGACAAUACAUCUUUCAAAGAUGCUAGCCUCUACCCCUAGGCCCCACACAAAAAACACACGCACACACACACGCACACACAAGAGACCUCUGUUAAAAGAUCCAGUAGUCUGCCUUCAUUUAUUGCUGUUUAUGGAGAUGCAUCUUGAUCUCCUAAUGCUGUUGCUUUUAUUAUUAUUAUUUUUCAAAUAUCUACAACUGUAUUCUUAUUAGUUUUUUAGGUUGAAUAAUUGAUGGCUUGAUGCCUUCUCAAAUUUGCUUGUAAGUUCAUCAAAUGCCAUUAUAUAUGGAUCUUGUUUAUAGAGAUCUAUGCAAUAGACUCCCUUGAUUGUAUUACUGCAACAUCAUAUGAUUCUCAUUUUAUUAGCAUCCUGAUUUCUGAGAGUAAUAUAUGUCUUGAUGCCUUUAGUUUUUCAAAGUUUCAAUGCUUGUAAUGUUGUCUAAGUUGAGCCUGAUGAAAGCCCCUUUGCUUGUUCAACCUUAGCCACAUCCUUAUAUACAAUGUAGAGUAGGAGAAAAGAUUAUUGGAUUGUUAGAAGGAUUUAGCUCUAAUAUCUAAAUUGGUCAAUCCAUCUGCUUUUUGAUAUUAAUCUUAAUCAUGCAAGUUUAUUACUAUUGAACCACACACUCUUUUCUAUUCCCAGCCUGAAUUUUCUAGCUCUGCUAUUGUACUUGUACUCAAAUCACAUUUAGAAGUCAGUUUUGGGGAGAUGUUGUGACUUUCUACAGUGCUGACCAUACUUCGGUAGAAGAUCAGCUCUUUGGCAUAGGUGUGCUUGAUAAAUAUAGAUAGGCCUUCCUAAGCUGUAAUUUGAGCCUGGCCAUGCUAGAGCAUCCUCCUACUAAAUUGAAUGGCUAUUGUCUCAUAAUGCAGUGUUGGGAUGAUUGCUGCGACAGCUCCUUAUUUCAGUUACUCGUUCAAUUAGUAAGCUCGAGCUCUGUUGUAGGAUGAAUCAUAUUUAGCUGACAUGCCCUCCUUGCUAACUUUUUACCCCCCUUUAGUUGCCAGUCUAUUCAUUGAUUUUGUUUCUAAAAAACCAAUCACCCAGUGGAAUUGCUGUAGUUGUUACUUUUAAUUCAGAAUAGAUUAAGCGGUAAGGACUUGUGGCAGAAAUUACACCAUAUGCUUAUCAGUGCCGAAUGUUGUCUUGUCAACUUAUUAGGCUGCCUGAAUUGUUACAUUAUGGGAAUUAAUGAGUAUAUUCAAUUCAACCUCUGUAAAAUCCUCCAAGCUGUUUAAGGGUAGACUCUGUCAGCAAGUAACAGAUACAGACCUUUGCCAUUGUUUCCCUUCAGCCACUGGAAGCUUUUAGCUGACUUGUAUCUGGUAACUGUUUAACACAGUUUGUUAUGAACAUACCACUGGUUGGUAUAGCCGUGAUUUAUGCAUUUAUAAAAAUGGCUUCGGUACAGCAACUUGGAAUUUAAGUUACAAAAACCUUAAAUGCUAGUUGACUUUCUUGUCUAGAAAAUUAGAGCCCUCAAUCAUCAGUUCACUAACUGUUGUUAGUGUGCUAAAAUUUAUUCAAUAUCUGUUAGCUCCUGGAAUCUAUAAUAUUGUUACUAUAAUCUUUAUAGCUUAAGUUGCUCCUUAAAAGAGAACAUUAUCAAGGACUUGUCUUGGCUAAAGGUAAGCAUUUGCCUUGUGACACUGCAUCACCCUUAAGUCAGCUCAAGCAGUGGACUGUUCAUGAUAUUGCAUGAGCUGUAAAAAUGCAAAUGUUUGCAUGCUGCAGAUAUUGGUUUUGUUCUGGCAAACUUGAUAAUUGCCUUUGCAAUAAAAUUGCCUGAUAAAGAUAGUUUGUAGGAUACCAAUUCUUUCAAAAUGAUGAGGUGGGUAUUGGGUCCUGGUUGGAUUUGCCUUUCAGCUUUAUAGGAUGACUUUAUGAAGAAACUACGGAUGAUCUGAAGAUUGGUUGCAGCAUAUUGCUUCUGAGGCAUUAGUGAUGACUGCCCCUCGACUAAUCAUUGACUUUACUCUAGUUUGCUUUUAUCAUUAGGCUCAUUUUCAAUUUACUAUUUUUCCAUUUUGCCUCUGGUAUUGAGUAAUAAUGAUAUUAUCAGAGAUAUUCCACCUUAAGUAAGAGGGCAAAAUUGUUCUCUGCUAUUUUGCUCAAUUUGUAUGACUUGUUUCUCGAGAUGAUCAGGUAACAAGCAUUAUAAAUCUAGUGUGAUGAUGAUUUGGAUGCUCCACCCUAGAAAUAAUAAUUACAGAGGCAUUGUUCCAACUAGACCUGUUCAUGGGCCGCUCCUUGCUGCUCAGGCUAAGUUUUGCCCAAAGGUCAACAACACAAUUCAGUUAGCUCGGGCCUGGUCUGGCCCUUGGAUCAGAGAUAUUCCACCUUAAGUAAGAGGGCAAAAUUGUUCUCUGCUAUUUAGCUCAAUUUGUAUGACUUGUUUCUCGAGAUGAUCAUGUAACAAGCAUUAUAAAUCUAGUGUGAUGAUGAUUUGGAUGCUCCACCCUAGAAAUAAUAAUUACAGAGGCAUUGUUCCAACUAGACUUGUUCAUGGGCCGCGCCUUGCUGAGCUCAGGCUAAGUUUUGCCCAAAGGUCAACAACACAAUUCAGUUAGCUCGGGCCUGGUCUGGCCCUUGGGCCUACCUUCUAGGCAUAAGCCCGGUCCUUACUUGGGCUUUGGGCUACGCCUUGAGCUUCCUGAUCAUUUUUAUUUUUUAGAAAUAUUAGAAAGAUACUUAAAAUAAUUUGGAAAAUGCUAAACAUGAAUAAUUAAAUAUUGCCAACAACUUACAACAUGUCUAAUAUCCCAUUAAGUUCAUAUAUUGACAACAAUUCUCAAUUAAGUCCACCAAUACAUCAUACAUAGGCAAACGACACAAGGAACAUGAGAAAAAAUUCGGGUUGGGCUGGGCUUUAAUCCCAAGCCUGAGCCUGACACAUUUGUUAAC